UCAUGGUUCUAUUUUGAAACUUUUACUCCCUUACAGUCCUUGAAGUAACUGAUGCAACAUAAAAUCUUCCCACCUUGAUGUUUAAAUUUUUUUUAGGUAUGUUGGAGAAUAUGAUUCGAAGGGAAGGGGGAGGUGGAGUAAAAGAUAUUAAAAUAAUUUUCUUAAAAAUUAAAAUUUCACAUGUAAUUAUUUAAUUCAUUGCAUGCCACAUCAUUAGUGGGUUUAUUACACUUUCCUAAUUUAUUUUGGUAAUUAUUAAAAAGGUAUCAAAAUGACAUAAUGGAAGCCUGCAUGAGGUGUUUAAAAUGAAAAAUGUAUAGUUAAAGUAUCUAAGUGAAAGUUAGCGUCAACCUUAGGGGGUUGACGAUAUGUUUUGCCAAUAUUUGAAGUACAUACUGUCAAUAUCUGGUCUUGUUUUAAUCAAAAUGGCCACAUGGGCCUUUAUUAAAAAUAAAAAGUCUUAUGGGCUUGAUAGGCCCAAAAUCAAUAAUAACAAAAACAAACAAAAGCUAAGCUAGUUUACAAUUCUAAGACGUGAAAUGUCUGGACAUCCGCAAAGAGAAAAAGUGUAUCUUCUUCUUCAUCUUUUUCUUUCUCACACAAAUCAAACCUAAUGAUCCGCCAUUUUGAUUCGACCCUUCUUGUAAUGAAAUAAAGGUGGAUUCGGAAUAAAAACUCCAUUUUCAACCUCGAAUUAUUUAAAAUCAGACUUGAAAAUUGUUGAGUUGAGGGUUUUUCACAUGAGACAUUCAAAAUUCUUACAAAUUCCAUGAAAACCAGCUCAAUAAAGACUUUUUCAACUUAAUAGGGGAAGAUCUGGUGAGUUCAAGGUUUUAUUUUGAAGUUUUUACACUCUUACAGUCCUUGAAGUAACUGAUGCAACAUAAAAUCCUCCCACCUUGAUGUUUGUAGCUCAACUUUUGGCAUGCUUGUCCAGAUAAGUUACAUAUAUUGUUGUUUUACCUUUUGAUAGCCUCGAUACGGAUAUUCCCCAAUUAGGUACUCUGACUUGUCAAUUCUAUUCGUCUUUACCAUGUUGUUGCCCCUAAUCGAUUUCUUUUUCAUGUUCCAGUGAGAUAUUUACCCAUCCUCCAAUUUAUCCCAUAGAAUGAUCUUAAUUAAAAGUUGAUGCCACUAUUUUGAACGCCAGGGAUGAUAGGUUAUUUAUUUUUCCGUUGUUAUAUCCAUACAAUGUCUUUGUUGUACUGGUUCCAUUAUUGUGCUAACUGUUGUGUAUUGGUCAUAUAAUAGUUGUUCCACAGAUUGGUUAUGUGAUACCAUCCUUAAUUAUUUUCAUGACUGUUAUAUUCACCAUUUUUGAUAUCUUCUUAUCCUGAAAUUAAGCAAUUUAGCUUUCUCAAUGUUAAUAGCCUCUUACUUCUGUUGGUCUUUCCUAUAAUGUUUAGUAUUUUAAUCUUUGUGUGCCUGCAAAACAGAAAGCAUGGUUAGUAAAAAAAUCAGUCAGUUUAUUUCCUUCUCUGAGAGUGUGCACCAUCACAUCUGUUUCAAACAUCACCAUUCUUAUUCUCUUGAUUUCCAUAGCAAUACACUAGCUCACCGGGGAACUUCCCAUCUAUUAUCUUCUUUAGACUAAAAGAUCCAGUCUCGUGUUAGAGUAAGAAGAUUAUGAUCAACACAAUAUUCCAGGCCUAGUCUUAAUGCCACCACUUCUGCCAUUAGAUUAGUCCCAUCGCCACAGCCUCCUAACUUUAGCAUAUAUAAAAUCUUCUUCUCUUUUUCUAAUACAAAAAGCCCCUGAAGUAGGGCCUAGGUUUCCUAUGGAUGAACCAUCAAAGUUGCAUUUGAAAUUUCCUAAAAUGGGAGAAUUCCAAAUCACAAUUCAACAGACUAAAGUGGUAGAAUACUCCUCAAGAAACUUUACCAAGUCAGGCCAGUUUUUUAGUAAAUUUUUCAAUCAAGGAUAAUUAUACCUUGCCAGCAGAAUUAGGUUUUGAUUUACUUCGAUCUCCAUUCCCACAUAAGACAUCUUUUCCUGAUAAAUAGUGAUGUUCCUUCUCUUCCAGACCUGCCAAAUUAUGAACAUAGGAACUGUAUUGAAAACUAAUUAGAGCUUUGAAGCUCUAUAAGCUUUCCACCACUUCAUAACUGAAUCCCUAAGUUACAAAAAAGGGCCAUUAACUCCAGCUGCAGCUGCGAAGCUGCACCACAUUUUGUUAGCUAGGUAACAUAUAAUGAAUAAGUGCUUAAUAGAUUCAUGAACAUUUCUUCAUAACAUUUGCAUAUCACCUCCUCAAAAACCCUGAUCUUACUAGUACUUCCCUUAUGGGAACUCUUUUCUUCCAUAAUUUCCACAGAGAAAAAGGAUACUUUAAAAGGCAUCUCUUUAUGCCUGGCUUUUGAGUUUUGAAUUUUUUUCUCCCAAACAUCAAAUUUUGACCCAAGUUUAUCCAUAAUUGUUUGAAAUAUUCUUGUACCUCUUCUUGUUGUCUCACUAUAUCCCAAGCCGAUUUAACAGUGAAUUUCCUUGAGGAGUUGAGAAUCUACCUAGGUAUGUCCCUGUCCUCUGAAACUUAUUCUACCAUCAAAUAAUGUAGCACAUGAUUGCAUAUCUCUUUUGGAAAUAAUUCUUCUAGAAAACGAGUGUUCCAUCUUCCUUCAUCGAAUAAUUGGUUCACAUUUUCUGCUUGAUGAACAUCAGAACUAGUGAUUGGUAAGUAGCGAUGUAGUGCCCCAAGUUUGUCCAAUUAUCAUUCCAAAUAUUAGAAUGUCUACACGUAGGUUCCCACCAUAUCUCUUGAUCAACAUAACUUUGGAUCCAAUUAUAUAUUUCCAUGUUUGUGAACCCUCUCUACAUUCAACCACCUGAGGUGUAUACCUUUUUUAAUAUUUGUUCCACAUGAAUAUAGUCCAUGUGGAUUUCUAUGUUCUGAAAAUCCAUCACAGUUUGGCAAAUAAAACUUUAAAAUUAUCAAUUAGUGACCUAAAUCCAAGUCCACAUUCAUCGUUUGCCUGCAAAUAUCAGUCCAAGAAACCCAACGCUUGUUUUUGCCUACCUUCUUGAAACUUCAUAUAAAUCUUGAAAAAAAUCUAUGUAAAUUAGGGAUGACACAUUUAGGAGGAAUUACUACAGACAAUAGGUAUAUACGGAUUGUAUUUAACAUAUUAUUGAUCAAUACAGAUUUAUCUCCAAAAGAUAAAUUCUCUCUUUCCAAGACUGAAGCUUAUUAUUUACCUUUUAGAUCAGCUCUGAAAAAUUUAUUUUCCUCUUUAUUGCAUGACCGGUCUUCCACUUCCUGAGUGAUAGCAUUUGUUGUUUUAUCAUGGAUAUUAAAAGAACUUUUUUAUUUAUUAAUCUUCUGCCCUGACUAUUGUUCAUAUUCCUCCAAUGUACCCAUCACCAAUUGCAAAGAUAUCUUAUCGGCUGACACAAAUAAAAUAGUGUCAUUUGCAUAAGCUAGAUGGUUAAUUUUGUCACUUCAUUUUGGCUUUCCAAAGCCCUUGAGGUCCUUCUUAUUAAAUAAAGAGUUCAAUGCUCUAGCAAUCACUUCUGCAAAUAAGAUAAACAGUAUAGGGGAUAAAGAAUCUUCUAGUUUCAUACCUCUUAUAGAAUGAAAGAAACCAUAGAAUUGAACAUUUAUAAAAGUUAAAUACUAGUUAUUAACCACCAGCCUCCAGAUCAUAUCUACUACUUUGUGAUCAAAACCCAUUUUUCCAGCAAUCCACUAUAUCGUAUUUUUUUAGCCAUGUCAAGUUUUAUCACUACAUUAGCAUAAUUGGCCCUGUUUCUAAUGUCAGUAAUGAUUUCUUGAUACCAAAGGACAUUUUGAGUGAAGUUUCUUCCUUUUACAAAACCAGAUUGGUUUUAUUAAAAUCGGCAUAGGAAGAUGUGUCUCAAGUCUAUUAUGAAGCUCUAUAGAUAUCACCUUGAUAAGAAAAUUACUUGAAAUAAUCGGUCUCAUAUUUGUCAAACACUGAACAAUGUAUUUUUUAGGCAACAAGACUAAUAUCUUUAAAAUUCAAGCUAUAAUAUUAGAAUCAUUCUUCAAGCAUAUAUACAAUCAGAAAUAGUAAUUUGGUAGUAUGAUGAGUGAUUUAGACAUGAAUUAAGGCCACAAAUAGUUCCUAGCUCAUGGCCAAGUUGAAAACUUCCUUACUGAUUGACUUUUUGUGUAGGAUCUCUCUAUAGUCAACUUCAAAUGAGUUUUACUUAUAGAAUAUUAGAAAUUCUGAAUCUCAAGAUCCACCAAAAAAAUCUCCUUGAAUCUUCUUUCCAACACAUCUAAUUUUAUCUUAACCCGAUAUCGGAGUAAAAGGUUAUGACCAUUUUAGUAAAGUACUAUCAGGUUGUCCAAACAUACAAGCUGUCAUACGAACCAUGUGACUGGGACCCGAUCCAUAUGUGGUCCAACACACGAAUCCUGGUGCAAUUUUUCAACAACUUUUUUUUAUGUUUACUAAAGGUUUUUUUGGUCAUUUUUCAAGAUUUUUAGCCCAAUAUCAAGUCAUUUUAGGAUAUUUUGAGGCAUGAUAUCCUAUUAUUAUUCUGUUUUCUCCCUCAUAACAAUGACCAAGCUCCCAAACUCUGCCAAAAUUCUCUCAAGGCAAUAACAUUUGAUUUUCUCCUCAAGCUCAAGAAAAGUCAAGUUUCCACCAAGUUCUUCGAUCAAAAAGCUUCAUAAUCAGAUUCAGGUGCUUACUAUCAGGAUCCUAGUAAGGCAAAUCACAGCAUCCAGCCAGCAGGUGAUAAGUUCUCUUAUUUUUAGGACUCAAGUCAGUUGUAGAUCCAUUAUUUCAUUUGUAUUCAUAUGUAUUGAUUAGGGAUAGUUGGGGGGCUACGUCUCGGCUUCUUAUAGUCGGUAUUAAUAGAGGCUUCAUAGAUAAUUUGCUAGAUUUGUCGUAUUAAUUUUUUUUUAGAUCAUAGAGGUUGUAAAUAAACUUUCUAAUAGUAGAUGUAUUAAUCAAGUUUAUUCCA
Molecule: long non-coding RNA, 4933 nt
Organism: Capsicum annuum
Lineage: Eukaryota; Viridiplantae; Streptophyta; Magnoliopsida; Solanales; Solanaceae
Exons: 2
Source: RefSeq, a predicted model, not a curated record